RNAcentral lists this long non-coding RNA (1044 nucleotides) under Equus caballus (horse). RNAcentral's name for it is "lncRNA (ENSECAG00000054553.1)". The record is from RNAcentral. Lineage: Eukaryota; Metazoa; Chordata; Mammalia; Perissodactyla; Equidae.
AGCGUCUCCAGGAAGGAGGGAGCGUCUCCAGGAAGGAGGCGUGGGCGACCGAGGGCGGCAGGGAGGGGGUGGGAGGAGGAGGAACGCACAAGUGCCCCUUCCUGCUUCCCGCAGCCUCGCCCCUCUGCAUGGCUGCCGCACCACGUUUGGGAGAACAUCUUGGUCCGUCAACGCAAGCAGCCGAGGAGAUAGUUGCACUUUCAGGGGCGGAGGAUAACGUCCAGGUGGCCUCACAUCAUGCCUCUUCAGGAGACACCUGGAUCAACUUGAGGACUCUGCAGGGACACACUCAGCCCAGGGGAGUCACUGGGGCCGCCCACAGGAGCGGCUGGGCCGGCCUGGGAAGAUGGGCUGCAAGGUAGCCCCGUGCAUCGUCCUCCAUGCAGCCAGGAGCAGCCCUGGGAGUGCCUGGGGCUCAGGGCGUGGUGCUCCGGGCCUGUGCCCGGCCCUCCUGAGCCCCAUCCAGCCACUCACAGUAGACGUGGGAACUUAAGAGGAUGAUAAGGGUUCCCACCAUACAGGGUCAUUAGGAGGUUUCAAUGAGCUAAUGGAAGUCAAGUCAGGCACACAGCAAUAGCAGCUUCACCAUCACCACCACCACCAUGAUCACCAUCUGAGCUUUCUCUCUGCAGACACCGAAAUGUCACGGAACCGGUACUGUACUCUACAUUCAGUUCACUCUCUUACCAUUCUUAUCAUCAGCCUUUUCCCACAUCGCUGAAAAUUCCUCAAAAGCGUGAUGUUAACAGCUUUGUAAUUGGGCCUCAUUGAGAUGCACUGUCAUUCAGCUCCCCAUCUGACCGUCAGACACGCGGAGGGCGACAGGCCUUCUCUCUCACACCCGUCAGCUGUGACGGACGCUCUGGCCGCGUGCCUGAGUCCCUGGCCCCGUCCUCAGGACACACCCUGCAGGUGGAGUCACGGCACUGAGAGCAGGGUGCUGCUCAGGCGCAGGGUCUUCAUUGCCCCAUCGCUGUCCUCGAAGCCGCCCGCAUGGAUGCCCCCAGUACCCCGAGGACGCCCGUCCCAGCACCCACAGCCCGG